AUACAGUGGAAUAUGUUGAACAAUAUCUAACUACUGUAGUAAUAUUCCAGUACAACAUUUAUUUGUACGCAUGACGACCUCCUAGGAGCGAUUUUACGUCCAGCUUGACAAUGAUGCCAUUGACAUCGAAACCCAUCACCGGAAAGACGACUUAAAGGAUUACUUGGACAGAAUAAAGAUUUAAAAAAAUCGGAGCUAGAAACUGAGAGAGAGAUGUGUCGUCGGCGAACAGGGAUAACUUUGAGGAAGUUACCCAGGAAUAGAGAUUGUUAUUAACAAGUAGGAAAAGGACUGGUCCCAGGACGGAGCCCUGAGGCACCCCCUUCUCAGCAACAGAAUUCUCAGCAGAAG
Macrosteles quadrilineatus (aster leafhopper) is the source of this 351-nucleotide long non-coding RNA. RefSeq lists it as uncharacterized. Lineage: Eukaryota; Metazoa; Arthropoda; Insecta; Hemiptera; Cicadellidae. The record is from RefSeq and is a predicted model, not a curated record. The transcript is spliced from 3 exons.